This 439-nucleotide ribosomal RNA is filed under the name uncultured prokaryote. Its description in RNAcentral is "bacterial SSU rRNA". It matches the Rfam family "Bacterial small subunit ribosomal RNA", at positions 355 to 796 of the family's 1533-position model. The record is from RNAcentral.
UCGAGAAUCUUCGGCAAUGGGCGAAAGCCUGACCGAGCAAUGCCGCGUGCGGGAUGAAGGCCCUCGGGUUGUAAACCGCGAAAGUAAGGAGGAGGGGCCCGUGAAGAACGGGUCUUGAACGAUCUACAGUAAGGACGGGCUAAGGUCGUGCCAGCAGCCGCGGUAACACGAACCGACCAAACGUUAUUCGGAAUCAUUGGGCUUAAAGGGUGCGUAGGCGGACCAUUAAGUCGGGUGUGAAAUCCUUCGGGUCAACCGAAGAAUUGCGCCCGAUACUGGUGGUCUUGAGGGAGACAGGGGUGAACGGAACUGAUGGUGGAGCGGUGAAAUGCGUUGAUAUCAUCAGGAACACCGGUGGCGAAAGCGGUUCACUGGGUCUCUUCUGACGCUGAGGCACGAAAGCUAGGGUAGCGAACGGGAUUAGAUACCCCCGUAGUCC